Long non-coding RNA from Rosa chinensis, 1106 nucleotides. RefSeq lists it as uncharacterized. NCBI's taxonomy places the organism in Eukaryota, Viridiplantae, Streptophyta, Magnoliopsida, Rosales, Rosaceae. The record is from RefSeq and is a predicted model, not a curated record. The transcript has 3 exons.
UCUCUUUCUCUCUCUCGCUCGCUCGCGUUUGUAUCCAUCAGCGACCCCUUGUUCCACAGACGCUACAAGCGCCUCUCUGAUUUCCUCACGCUCUAUAUACUAUAACCAGAGAUGCAGAGCCUCAGAAACUCUCUACUCAACUAUUUUCUUCUUCAGACCCCCUUGAUCUGCAAAUCAGAUGCGCUCUGUCUCUUGUUUUUGAGCUAUUCUUCAAACCCUAUUCUACAGACAUCGAUCUGGAAAACAGUUGCUCUCUCGCUCUCGCUUUUGAGCAAUUCUUCAAACCCUUUUCUUCAGACCUCGUUUUACAGAUGCUCAAUCUGUGCGUCUAUUUUAUUCUCCCUUCUUUCCUCUAAUUUUGUAAACAAAGAUGAAGAGCUUCAUAUACUCUCCUCUUUCCUAUGACCUCUUCAGUCCAUCUCGAUCUACAAAACAUGUUCGCUUAUUCAGAUCUGUCCUAGCUUUUGCUGGGCCCUAGAGACGGUGGCGGUGAUUCAAUGAUUCCGGUUCAUCGUUGAUAUUUUCGCUAUCUUCUCUCGUCGGGUUACACAGUAGGAUCUUUGAGUUGGAUGCUGAAGUCGUCGGUGGAGGGGGAUGAAGCACUUGUUGUCAAUGAUAGAUUCUGGUGACCCCAUCCGGUCCGUGUCAAGGUGAAUUGCAGUUCCUUUUGGGUGAAGGCCCGUUGUAGGGUUGGACUUGGUGUUGUGGCACGGGAUACUGAUCGAUCUGUGGUUUUUACUGAGUCUGAAGUUGGGGUGGCCACAUCGGCAACUGAUGCGGCGGCAAAAGCGUGCCUAAUGGGUUUGCGUCUGGGCGCAGAACGUCUUGCUGGCCGUCCGUAUGUGCUCGAGUCCGACUUUUUCCGUUUGCCCUUCUCGACAUUUGAAGGUUUUGGCACUUCCCUGGUACCUUCAGUGGCUGGGUAAAAACCACAGAUCGAUCAGUAUCCCGUGCCACAUUGGUCCUAGAACACAAUGUUCCGAAACAUUUGGUCCGGGUUUUCCGGCUAUUGGUCCUAGAACACAAAUUUUCCAGAAUUUCAGCUUACACUUGCUUUUUCCGGCUAUUGGUCCUAAAACACAAAUUUUCCAGAAUUUCAGCUUACA